Molecule: ribosomal RNA, 400 nt
Filed under: uncultured bacterium
Lineage: Bacteria
Description: bacterial SSU rRNA
Rfam family: Bacterial small subunit ribosomal RNA
Source: RNAcentral
UAAGGAAUAUUGGACAAUGGUCGCAAGACUGAUCCAGCCAUGCCGCGUGCAGGAUGAACGAUCUAUGAUCUGUAAACUGCUUUUGUUCGGGAAUAAACCCCUUCACGUGUGGAGGGCUGAAUGUACCGAAAGAAUAAGGGUCGGCUAACUUCGUGCCAGCAGCCGCGGUAAGACGAAGGACCCAAGCGUUAUCCGGAUUUAUUGGGUUUAAAGGGUGCGUAGGCGGGUUGUUAAGUCAGUGGUGAAAGCCUACAGCUUAACUGUAGAAUUGCCAUUGAUACUGACGAUCUUGAGGAUAGUUGAGGUGGGCGGAAUGUAUCAUGUAGCGGUGAAAUGCUUAGAGAUGAUACAGAACACCGAUUGCGAAGGCAGCUCACUAAGCUAUUUCUGACGCUGAGGC